This is a long non-coding RNA of Salvelinus fontinalis (brook trout), 7352 nucleotides long. RefSeq lists it as uncharacterized. The record is from RefSeq and is a predicted model, not a curated record. The transcript has 2 exons. Lineage: Eukaryota; Metazoa; Chordata; Actinopteri; Salmoniformes; Salmonidae.
GUUCUGUUCCUCUCUCUCUCCAUCUCUGUAGUUUCCGGGUAUGCUGGAAAAGGACCCGAGCUAAGGGAAUGGGCUGACUUUGUAGUGCCUGUCCCAAAUGGCUCAUUAAUGUAAAUGGGCAUAUUGAAAGACACUGUCAGUAGUGAUGUCAUUUUGUAAAUGUUAUGUUGUGAUAUUGUUUCAAAACCCUGUUGCAAUUAGUAUGUUUAGUUAAAGGGAAAAUGUAGGUUUGUAUAGGUAAUUGCUUAAUUAAUUAGUGUUAAUUGUUCUGAGGGGAGGGGCUAGCCCUACAAAAGGAGCCUCUCUUUCAGUUCAUGGGGAGGCAUUUUGGAUUGAGCUGUGGAUGGGGUAGCAUUGUUUUUAGCUGGCCCAUAUGGUAUAUGUUUGAUGGCAGUACUGUUGUUUUUGUUCCGGAAUCACUUUGUAAAUAAACACCCUUGCACUGAAGAACUUUUGUGGCUCCGCCAUCUUUUUAUUUUGAUAGAGGUUAGGUUUUCCAGUUUAGCCUUCUGGCAUACUCUACGUGACAUACUCAAUGUGAAUCUGAAGGCUGGCACCCUGAACCUGAGCUGGUGUGGCCGGACAGUAAAGGAGUCAAUCUCAAAUGUGAAAACUGUUUUAGGGUGUGUAGACUUUCACUAGGCCAUUGAUUCUUGAAGAAAUUAAGUUAUACAUUCUUGUCGAGCUUAGUUUAACUGUUCUUCCUUAUCAGAACCAAAUAUAGGCCUGUAACUGAAAACACUGUAUAGACUUAAAACAUGGUUCAAACUUUAAGUCCUUGCAUCCAUAGCUCCUAUAUGUUAAUGGUCAGUGCUAACACAGAUCCUUGGGACAUCCCUAUCCUAAACGAUAACCCUAACCUUAACUCUUACUGUAAUCUUACACAUAACCAAAUCCCUUACCAAACCUUAAACAUUUUAACAAUGGGGUAGGGAUGUCCAAAGGAUGCUGAAUAGCAUGGACCGUAUGUUUAUUUUCUGAGAUCUGUGUCCAUGAAUACUGGGCAGGGGCACAAGAUGGGAGUCUGGUGUGAGAGAGACAGUGGCCUGGCCAUAGAAUUAGGAAUAAUAAUUCUAUGACAUAGCCUGACAAUAGAUCACAGAAAAGAGUUAUAUUCCGAGGGAAAUUGAUCCCAGGCCUUUGUGGCCCAGAGUUGCCCAUCCCUGACCUAGAAUUGUGAAAUUCUGUGCAUAGUUCCCUCUUCGCACAAGGAACACAUUUGCCUCAAGGACCCACAAAGUCUGCCAUGAUGGAUUUUCUGCCCAUUUGAAUUUCUGAAAAACACAUCUCCUUCGGAGCCACAGGGCCGAUCUGGAUGAAACUUGAUAUAUGGCAUCUAUGGCUAAAUGUCUUUCAAUGCAAUAUUUUCCAGACUAGUAUGUCAAACAACUGACCAAUAACCAUUAAUGUGGCAUGGUCUGGCACAUAAAUGCAUAUAAAUCAGACAGACAUUUGUAUUGUAACCAAACUUGGUAAACAUGUUCUUAACCCUGUCAAGACUCAACAUAUGCAAGCAGAUUUAGAUUGACCACACGGUGGCGCUACAACAGGCACAUAUUUAUCUCUUUGGAUCUGUUUGACUCAGUGCUGAAAUUGAAAACCUCUGGUUAUUGUGAUGUGUUGAUGUGCUUCCCAUUUGAGGUCUGGAUUGUGAUUCCUAUGAUUUUUGUGUGGUGUCAAAAUCUGAAUGAUUGUUGCAACAACUUAUUUUGGUCUUCUUUCUGUUAUUCAAAAGGUGCUGUCAGGAGAAACAAAUUGAUACCAUUUCAUCCUUCCACUCUCACCUGGUUGUUAGUUCUAUCAGUUAAGUUGCUUGAGAAGUGGACUUAUUGUUAAUUUUAUUUGUUUGAUUGCUAUGCAGCCUGGCAAUGUUCUUAUCCCUUGCUUGCUAGCUAGCCAUCUGUGGCUGAUACAGUCAAGUCAACGCUGCAGAUACAGUGCAUUCGGAAAGUAUUCAGACACCUUGACUUUUUCCAAGAUUUUUUACAUUACAGCCUUAUUCUAAAUUGAUCAAAUUCGAAUUUUUAUCAUCAAUCUACACACAAUACCCAAUAAUGACAAAGCAAUAACAGGUUUUGGGGAAUUUUUGCAAAUGUAUAUAUUUCAGUUGUUUUAUACAUCACAUUUACGCAACUAUUCAGACCCUUUACUCAGUACUUUGUUGCAGUUCUUUGGCAGCGAUUACAGCCUUGAGUAUAACAUUACAAGCAUAGCGCACCUGAAUUUGAGGAAUUUCAACCAUUCAUGAAUGCAGAUCCUCUCAAACUCUAUCAGGUUCGAUGGGGAGUGUCACUGCACAGCUAUUUUCAGGUCUUUCCGUAGCUGUUUGAUCAGGUUCAAGUCCGGGAUCUAGCAGGGCCACUCAAGGACAUUCAGAGACUUGAUCCGAAGUCACUCCUGUCUUGGCUGUGUGCUUAGGGUCGUUGUCCUGUUGGAAGGUGAACCUUCGCUCCAGUCUGAGGUCCUGAGCCCUCUGGAGCAGGUUUUCAUGUACUUUGCUCCGUUAAUCUUUGCCUUGAUCCUGACUAGUCUCCCAGUCCCUCCUGCUGAAAAAUAUUCCCACACCAUGAUGCUGCCACCACCAUGCUUCACCGUAGGGAUGGUUCCAGGUUUCCUCCUGUUGUAACGCUUGGUGUUCAGGCCAAAGAGUUCAAUCAGACCAUAGAAUCUAGUUUCUGAUGGUCUGAGUCUCAAAACAUUAGAAAAAUGAUUAUGUGUGGAUACGGUGGGAACAUGUGGAUCUGAGCAAGUGUGAUGGCAUUAAUGUUGGUAAAUGCUAAGUCGUCUAUUGUUUUUGUCAAUUAUGUUUUUGAUUGUUAAAUAUUUAAUUCAUUGUUUGUCUGCUUUACUACAGAUUGCUCAGAACUUUUGCAUUUCAAACCCAGACUGCUUGGGGAAACUCACUGAUAACUGGAUCAUGGUCUUCGAGGACAAAAAACUGAGAGAAGCAAGCCCAAGAUCUUCUCUUCGAAGUGCAGGUCAAUCUUGAGGAGUGAGUCUCCCACCAGGUGCCUGAAGCCACAGCCGUAGAAGUAGCGAUAGGGCCGCGUGUUGAACUUGCUGUAGUUGAUCUGGGGGAACUCCAGACCUCCGUACUCAUAAAGGUCCUCUCCAUGGAGAUCCUCAAACUGGCACACCACCUGACCAGGACACAAAGAGAUCAAGCUGAACAAGAGUUGAUAAAAGGUAAAAGCCGGCAACUUAAUUCCCUUCAAUAAUUUAAAGAAAGCUGACACUUUUCAACACAAGCUCCUUCAUCAGUGAUUGAGUGGCUAUUUACGUUUUCCACAGAAGUGUAAAUGUACUGUAAUGGUAAUUGUCAAAAUAAAGGAAACACUUGAGUAAAUGAUCAUAUCAAAUACAUCACUGGAACGCCCAAUAAGGUGUUUACAUGUCCAAAUAAUAUGAAAGAUUGCUCAAAACCAGAUGUUUUAAUCGGUGUAUGCUUACUUUGAUUUUGACCUUACGCUGAUUAAGAUAAGCAGAGUAAGGUGUUUACAUUACUAUAAUCUAUAUAUAUAUAUGUAUAAUCUGCCUGCUGACAUAAUCAGAACAGGGGGUUUAAAGCGUGUGUGUCUCAGUCGCCAGAGUUGUGUACUACGAGCAAGCUAAAUCUACUCAGGCUUUUAUAAAGCUAGACCACUUCAGUUAGCUUCACAUUCCAGGUCAGGCUUCAUCCGCAUUAUGACAGUGGAUAUUGCUCGCCCGCCUGCCACUAACUCUAACAGGCUUGUAACUGCGCGUGCAUGUCACACAUGGCUAGUCAAACGCCAGACUCUUCAUUGAGACAAUUAAUCCAUGGGUGAGUCAGUGCCAUAUUUUUGCAAAUUCAGCAGGCUAUGGUGUGAAAUAAGCUUUUAGAUGUUUCGUCUUUAUUUUAUUGCGUAUCAUUAAUGCAGUCUUUGAUGCGCAAGCACCUUUUUUCCCCCCUAAUUCAUCUUCUAUCUGUGGAACAGCUUUUUGUGUUGUGUCCAUAGACAUAUAAUCCAUAGAAGGGUUUUGGAAACUCUAACCCUUCUUUAAUCACGCCCUAACCUUAGAGAGCGUUUUUUAUGUCUCUUUUUGGUUUGGUCAGGGUGUGAUUUGGGUGUGCAUUCUAUGUCCUUUACUUCUAUGAUUUUGUGUUUCUAUGUUUUGGCCGGGUAUGGUUCUCAAUCAGGGACAGCUGUCUGUCAUUGUCUCUGAUUGGGAACCAUACUUAGAUAGCCCUUUUUCCCUCCUUUCAGGGUGGGUAGUUGACUUGUGUUUGUGGCACUUAGCUUAAGCUUCACGGUUGUUUUGUUGGCGUCAUUCCAAAAUAAAGGAUAAUGUAUGCUCAUCACGCUGCACUUUGGUCUUCUUCCAGCAUCGGUUGUGACACCCUGGCAAUUUGACUGUACACUAGCAAUGUCUGCAAGUCUUGACGUGAAAGGGAACUGCCAUCUAUGGAUUAUAAACUGUGUUUACAGACAUUAGGAACAUCUUCCUAGUAUUGAGUUGGACCCCCUUUUGACCACAACAGCCUCAAUUCUUUGUGUCAAGUUGGCUGGAUGUCCUUUGGGUGGUGGACCAAUGUUGAUAAAAAUGGGAAACUGUUGAGUGUGAAAAAACCAGCAGCAUUGCAGUUCUUGACACACACAAACCAGUACGCUUGGCAUCUGCUACCACACCCUGUUCAAAAGCACAAUAUUUUGUCUUGCCCAUUCACUCUCUGAAUGGCACACAUACACAAUCCAUGUCUCAAGGCUUAAAAACUCUUCUUUAAUCUGUCUCCUCCCCUUCAUCCACACUGAUUGAAGUGGAUUUACAGGUGACAUCAAUAAGGGAUCAAAGUAUUCACCUGGCCAGUCUGUCAUGAAAAGAGCAGGUGUUCCUAAUGUUUGGUCACUCAGUGAGUACAGUUACAUGCACACAAUAAUAUGAAUAUUGUGGAUAGUCAGAUUAAUAUAAUAGUUUGUUUAAAAUCUUUACAUGCUUUGCAAGAAGAACGAUUUACAUAAUAGCCCUGUUUACAUGCUCACAUCUGAAAACAGGCAACCUGAUGGGACUUAAAUAAAUGCAGAAAAUCACCAAUCAAAAUACCCUUUCUGCCACAGCGACCAUGCUAUUUUUGCAAAGUAUUUUUUAUUCUGAGUUCAGACAUAUAAAGUUUCUAUGUGAAAAUUAUUUCUAAUAUGCAUAAGCCCGCACAUAAGGAGGCUUGCGCUACUGGUGCUGGCAGAUAUGCUAAUCAAAUACACCACUGGAACACCAAUUAAGCUGUUUACAUGUAUUAAUAAUUUGAAAGAAAAUGAGGUGUUUAAAUCGACGUGUGCUUACUUCCAUUUUGAAUUUAAACCGAUUAAGAUAAGAGUUAAGUAUUUACAUGACUAUUGCCAUACUCAGCCUACUGCCAUAAUUUAGUUUAUUAUAAAAUGAUUAGUGUGCAUGUAAACAUACUCAGUGUAUGGCUAUGGUUGGUUACGGUUGUCAGUUUUGCCUUUCACAGAUUUCUAAAUACAAUCGUUGGAAAAAUGUACUGCUUGGAAAGCAAAUGCCGUUAUUAUACUAAAUGUGUAAAGUGAUAGUUAUUUUAACAUUACUAUUAUUUUACACACCAAAAAACAUGUGAUUUUAAAUAUUUUAUUAAUCAGUCGUCAUCCUCAAAUUAAGGGUAUGAUGACACAAUCUUUGCGAGAGGGAGGGUAUCUGAUAUAAUUGGUCCUCAACUCAGUCACUUCAUUCAGGAUAAAUGGAGUUAGCCUUGAGUUAUCCUACCCGAAGCAGGUUAGUUCCGAAGGUUUCGUUGCCAUAGAAAUGUACCUGGCUAAAAGGUGAGCAACUUUUGUGGUACCAGUAUCCCAAGUUGUACUCAAGAGUUGACAAAAGUUACCGUGCUAACUCCUCAAACCUGAUUCAUAGUGUUGGGAUCUGAUCUCAACCCAAUUGAACACUUUAUGGGAGAUUCUGGAGUGGCGCCUGAGACAGCGUUUUCCACCACCCUCAGCAAAACACCAAAUGUGGCAAUUAAUCCUGAAAGAAUGGUGUUGUAUCCCUUCAAUAGAGUUCCGGACACAUCUAUACCAAGGUGCAUUGAAGAUGUUCUGGCGACUCGUGGUGGCCCAACACCCCAUUUAAGAAACGUUAUAUUGAUGUAUCCUUUAUUUUGGCAGUUACCUGUAUAUCAUAACUGUCUCCACACUAGGGUUGAAUGGCAGGAACCUGGUUACCGAGAUUUACCGGGAUUUACCGCCCAAAACACUCCCUUUUCCCGGGAUAAAUAACUCAGAGAAACAGGUAAAUUAUAACAAGUUAUUAUAAUAAAUUAUUAUAACACCUGUGCUCCUCAGGCCUCUACUUAGAAAACUGUCCUUUCUUAUACCAAAAGACUAUGCGAAGAGGGAUGCAAGUUCUUUUUUUGCUGAAUGUUAAAAACAGCAGCCCAAUAGAAAUCAUAGGUAAUUUGAAAGAGUGAACGCGCGAUGGCGGAAGGCUAUAUCAUUUAUUUAUUCAGACCCAUAACCUUUCAAUCUGGAAUAUGAAUGAGAGGCUUCCAUUAUAGAACACCCUCUGACAUUACCCAAGUAAUCUCAUGCCCUGACCAUAGAGAGCUUUUUAUUCUCUAUGUUGGUUAGGUCGGGGUGUGACUAGGGUGGGCUAUCUAGGUUAUUAUAUAUCUAUGUUGGCCUGGUAUGGUUCCCAAUCAGAGGCAGCUGUUUAUCGUUGUCUCUGAUUUGGAUCAUAUUUAGGCAGCCAUUUCCCCAUUGUGCUUUGUGGGAUCUUGUCUAUGUCUAGUUGCCUGCAAGCACUACAUUUGCGUCACGUUUCGUUUGGCGCUUUAUUGUUUUCUGUGUGUUUCACUUCCAAAUAAAAAGGAUGGAACCAUACCACGCUGCAUUUUGGUCCGAUUCAUAUUACAACGAUCGUGACAAGUAAAGCCACAACACGUACGUUUUUCCAGCAGAAGACUAUGUUCGAUAAUGUCAAAGCUGCACUGAAGUCUAACAAGACAGCCCCCACAAUCAUUUUGUCAUCAAUUUCUCUCAGCCAAUCAUCAGUCAUUUGUGUAAGUGCCGUGCUUGUUGAGUGUCCUUCCCUAUAUGCAUGCUGAAAGUAUGUUCUCAAUUUGUUUACUGUGAAAUAGUAUUGUAUCUGGUCAAACACUAUUUUUUCCUCAAGUUUACUAAGGGGUGGUAACAGGCAAGAGUGUGCAGAGCUGUCAUCAAGGCAAAGGGUGGCUACUUUGAAUAAUCUAAAAUCAAAAAUAUAUUAUAUUUGUUUAACACUUUUUUGGUUACUACAUGAUUCCAUAUGUAUUCUUUUAUAGUUUUUCAUGUUUUCAUUAUUAUUCUACAAUGAAGAAAUCUGUAAAAAUAAAGAACAACCCGAAUGAG